This 468-nucleotide ribosomal RNA is filed under the name uncultured bacterium. RNAcentral's name for it is "partial 16S ribosomal RNA". It matches the Rfam family "Bacterial small subunit ribosomal RNA", at positions 28 to 507 of the family's 1533-position model. The record is from RNAcentral.
GACGAACGCUGGCGGCGUGCUUAACACAUGCAAGUCGAACGGAAAGGCCCUGCUUUUGUGGGGUGCUCGAGUGGCGAACGGGUGAGUAACACGUGAGUAACCUGCCCUUGACUUUGGGAUAACUUCAGGAAACUGGGGCUAAUACCGGAUAGGAGCUCCUGCUGCAUGGUGGGGGUUGGAAAGUUUCGGCGGUUGUGGAUGGACUCGCGGGUUAUCAGCUUGUUGGUGGGGUAGUGGCUUACCAAGGCUUUGACGGGUAGCAGGCCUGAGAGGGUGACCGGCGACAUUGGGACUGAGGUACGGCACAGACUGCUACGGGAGGCAGCAGUGGGGAAGAUUGCACAAUGGGCUGAAGCCUGAUGCAGCAGCGCCGCGUGCGGGAUGACGGCCUUCGGGGUGUAAACCGCUUUCGCCUGUGACGAAGCGUGAGUGACGGUAAUGGGUAAAGAAGCACCGGCUAACUACGUG